AUUGAACGCUGGCGGCAGGCCUAACACAUGCAAGUCGAACGAGUGGCGGACGGGUGAGUAAUGUCUGGGAAACUGCCCGAUGGAGGGGGAUAACUACUGGAAACGGUAGCUAAUACCGCAUACCAUCGGAUGUGCCCAGAUGGGAUUCGCUAGUAGGUGGGGUAAAGGCUCACCUAGGCGACGAUCCCUAGCUGGUCUGCGAGGAUGACCAGCCACACUGGAACUGAGACACGGUCUAGACUCCUCCGGGAGGCAGAAGUGGGGAAUAUUGCACAAUGGGGGCAAGGCUGAUGCAGCCAUGCCGGGUGUAUGAAGAAGGCCUUCGGGUUGUAAAAUACUUUCAGCGGGGAGGCGUUACUCGCAGAAGAAGCACCGGCUAACUCCGUGCCAGCAGCCGCGGUAAUAC
This 406-nucleotide ribosomal RNA is filed under the name uncultured bacterium. RNAcentral describes it as "partial 16S ribosomal RNA". It matches the Rfam family "Bacterial small subunit ribosomal RNA", at positions 30 to 526 of the family's 1533-position model. The record is from RNAcentral.